Molecule: long non-coding RNA, 4053 nt
Organism: Brienomyrus brachyistius
Lineage: Eukaryota; Metazoa; Chordata; Actinopteri; Osteoglossiformes; Mormyridae
Exons: 2
Source: RefSeq, a predicted model, not a curated record
GUCUCGUAGCCUUCAGUGGCUCCGGGGGCCACCCGGUCAGGAGUCUGACCCAGAAUCCUCCGUAUUAAAGGAGAGAGUGCAGGAGUUGCCUGAGGGCAGGGUGGAGACAGCACUUAUGUGCUGUGAUACCACUGGUCCUUGUGGAGGAUGAAUGGACCCUGUGACAGCAGAAUGGCUGGAUCCAAGAGAGAGAGAAGAGGAGUGUGAAAGUGGAGGUCCUGAUGACUGAGAUUAAGAUAUCAGACUCACAUCUGGUGUGGAGUAGAGAGGGGAAUGACAGACGGACACCAGUGAUUCUGCUUGUGCCAAGAGGUGCUCAGGCUUCUGUUCUGUACGUAAGCAGGAAUUUACCAGAAAGAGAGGGAACUGCAGGACUACACUGGCAAAUGAGUGAAAAUGGACACUGCUGUGUGUUAAGUGGCUGUCAGUGUGGGAUAGUCUUAAAUCUUGUUGGACAGAUCCAUUAAAAAAGGACCUUUAACAUUCUAGUGUACAAUCUUGUCAUUUCAUCUUCAGUUAUAGUCCAUGUGCACUGAGAAGCGGCAUUUUGUGCUGAAGGACUGGUUGGUUUUUGUUGUGAUUAUUAUGUUGAUUGUAUUUUGAUUUAAACUGAAGGACUAGAGAGAACAUGUCGCCCAGAAUGGUUGAUUUUUCUGUAGAGCGACUGGAUGCCGCUCGAGGCAGAUUUAAAGGCGAAUCAAGAUAGAUCUGUGGGGGGUGGGAAGCGCCGGCCCCAGAUUCAUGCCGUUCAGAAUCAGCUAUCGCGGUCCACAGACAGAUGGAGGAGGUGGAUGCUGACAAGCUCCAGCCCCACCAGUCUGUAGGCUCGCCUGCUUCAGCCUCCAUUUAAACAACUGAAUUGAGCUCGCCUGAAUUAAAUGCUCGAUUUAAAUCGCAUGCAGCCAAGUGCAUUCACUGAGUUCUCGCCUUAAUUCUUCACCUGUGUUAAACCCGAUUAGUUAUUUGUCAUUUAAGGCACAGGUGCAGCUUUGAUUAGAAUAUGCAGCCUCUGAUUCUUUGUGAAACUUAAACCAUCAUAUUAUUUAUAGACUGCUUAAGUGCUGCCACUAUUAACUAAACUAAGUAAUCAUUGAUUAAAAUACUGAACACUGCUUCAUUCAACGGACAAACAAUGUGCAUGUAAUUAGCAUCUCAUUUCACUGUUAAUAAGGCUUGACUUUGUGGGUGAGCUGAGCAAACACCGAGUCUCGACCCUUCGCUUUGGCCCAGUGUGCGGCCCGUUUGGUCGACACCUCCACGGAAGCCGGAAGGUUAAUCGAAGCAGUGAGGAGGUGGCUGGAGCAAAGGAGCCGGGUGACGAUGCCCCCCUGGGGGGUUCUGUGGCAGCAGUGCAGAAUGAAAGGAUAGGGAAAUAUGACAGGAAUGGGUGAUGGAAGGAGGAUGUGCAAGUCGGGCCGGUGAGGAGAUGACGGAUGUACUGAUGUUUUUGAAUGGUAAAGGAGGCCAAUGCUGCCUAUCUGAAGUGCACAUAGCGGCUGUAUCACUAUUGUGGGGGAUGGGGGGGGGAUUGGGUGACUUGAGGAACCAGAAGCUGACAGCUGCCACACACAUAUUGGCACCCCCCCUGAUGCUCUUCCACUUCUCAGACAUUCAAACUGAGGAUUUUACAUGGGCAGAACAACAAGGAUUCUGAUAGUGUGGUCUGAACCAACGCAUGGUGAUGUGGGUGUGACAUCACAAGAAGGGGAGGGGCAUGUGGUGGGGCCCAGCUAAGGGUCAUAGACACACAUGGUAGUCACAACAGUUGCUGUCUGUUGUAAAUUAUAAAGUGCAGGUUGAACAACGUUGCGUGACGAAUGCUUGCUAUAGCUUGGCGUGACAGAAUUUCUGUGGUAAACGGUCACUCCACUGCCUGCUUCUGUACAGUGUCUCAAACUGCCCACAGUUGCUGAAGGGGGCUCCACCCAGUCUCGCCCUCGGGGGCAGCGAUUACUGCAGCAGCUGCCUCCCGGUCAGACUCUCCUCCAUUCACUUACACUCUUCCAGAGUGCUUCGGGGUGCAGGGGGCACACAGCUCCACUAGAUUAGUGUGUUUGAUUUUUUUUCUUUUCUUUUUAAAGCCCCUCCUGAUGGAAGAUCACUAUUUAUUUGACUUCCUGGAGGGGUUAAAUGUACAAAAAUAGACUCAUACUGCUGAUGUUUUGUUUCAAUAUUGUUUUUUUUGUUGUUAUUUAUUAAUGAAUUCCUUGUUGCAUAUUUCCUUCCAGGGUGUAACAGUCUAUUUCCUUUGGAAUCCAGUGUUUUGGGCUGUUACUGAACCUGAAAGGGAGGUUGGGGGAUACCCUUAUUUAGUUUGUGUGAAAUGUCUGUUCAGUUUUUAAUCUUUUUUACACCCCUGAAAAGCUGUUUUGCCAUUAAGGUAGGACACACAAAGACGCAGAUUCUAGGUCUGUACAGGAUCUUGCUUGUUCUGAUUGGAACUGAUGUCCUUUCUGUAAACGACAUCCUGCGCUGAUGUGGUUCCGCUUGGCCUAAUGAUGUUGAAAGCUCCCCGGUCACCUGUCUUGAUACAGAUGUCUUCAGCUUGGCUCCAGUGAGUCAUCACGGGGAUGAGAGCUAUCAAUGGGUGUGAGGUCGCAUGUGAAGGAUGACAGACGUUACGGCGUUUUACUACUGAAACGGACGGUCGCUCGACAAAACACACGUACAAAAAAAAAAAAAAGAAAAUGGUUGAUGUUCUCCAUUCCGCAGUUUAAAAGAAAAGACCCACAGUGGGCCUCGAGUAGCACUUUCAUUCCUACUGCUCUUUUUAUACGUUUGACUGAGAAAAUGUCACUGCUUAAGAAGUUUGAUCAAAAAUGGGAAAAAGUGACUAAAAGCACAGAAGCCCCCCCCCACCCGCCCAAUGUUUUUAAUUACGACAGUUAAUAUUAUUUGUAUAAAUGUAAUAUUUCUUUGUGUGAAGUGCAGAUGACCAGGUGUGUGGAUGAGCUCUGGGCAGGAGACUCGCUCUGUGACACUGACGGGGGUCGCCCCCCCCACCCAUGAGCCUGUGUGAUGCCCUCUGCUGCCCAAAGAGCAGGUCUGAGUCCUGCGGUCACUCAGACGCGAGUGUCAGACACACUGGGCGACGGCAGAGGCAUGGGGAAGCCCCAUUCUUCCCCCCCCCCCCCCCCCCCCCCCGCCAGUGUCAAUCUUUCUACAGUUACUAUCACAACCACUCAACUCACAGGUUCAUGAGAUAAAUUAAUAACUAUAAUACUGAUGGAAAUAGUCUGACGGGGUCCACAGCUACAGGGGAGCCCAGCACUAUUCAGGUCGGCUUCCCAUUUUAACCCUCCGAUCGAGUGGCUCUCGUACCGUGGGAUGGCCCCUCCCAAAGGAAAGGUGUAGAAGAGCUGGGCUGUGGCCAUGCCCCCCCCCGGGGUGGAGCCUGGGGGCUGCUGUGCCUGGGGGCUAGGGCCGUACACCUUUCAUCUGGCCGAGCACCAAUGUGGAUUCUAUCCUUACUAACUGCAGGGUCUAUACAAUAUAUACAUAUAUAAAUAUAUAUAUAAAUAAAUAAAAUAUAUAUAUUUAUAUAUUUUACACCUCAACGUACACUCUUUGCUGCUACUGUUUGUACUGUCUACAACAGAUUUUCUUGUUAUCUUGCUCCUGGUCGUGUAUUUUGAACGAGCAUGAAUUGUAAAGUAUUUAUUUAAAGAAAAAAAAUUACAAAUCAAAAAAGACAAAAAAAGAAACCGACUUGUAAUUAUUAAUUUUACGUCCACGUAGCUUUAGAGUUUGUGACAUUUCUUGACCUUGCUAGCUGUCGAUGGAUCCAUGUUAAGAUCUAGUCGUGUGGUUCAGGAUUUUAAGCAGAAGGGACUAAAGAGAAAAAAAUUGAAUUACUGUCAGUCAUAUUUAAAGGAUAAAAUGUUAUUUCCUUGAGAACAGGACCCACAAGGAUGUGAAAAUAAUCUGCAGGAAACUGUUUUUUUGUACACUGUACAUCCUUAGUAUUUUUACAUGUAAAUGUAUAUGAUAGGGGUGCACAUUACCUUCCUUCUUACAGACAGCUUCAAUAAAGCAUUAUGUCAAUCUGCUUCA